UUUCUUAUUUCUUUCUUUAGAAAAGAAAGCUUGGGUGAGGCUUUUUGUCAAACACUUGAGUGCACCAUCACCAACCUUGCAGCACCUAUGUACACAACUUUUUCUUCGAACAGGUUGUGUGCGUCCAGUAUAGGUGCAACUCCAGCAGCUGUAAUGGAGUUUUCCAGCCACAGGAGGUGCAGGUGUACCUCCUUGUGCCUGCACAGAUUCGCUAGUGCUUGCAGCACCUACGUACACAACUUUUUCAGGCAAGGGUGCACCUCUUUGGGUACCUUUAGGAAAAAAAAAAAAAAAAAAGAAUAAAUCAUUCAGAAAAUUUCUCUGAAUUGCAAUUUAGCAUGAUAUUAGAGCCGUCAAUCUUAGAUCCGCUCUAAACCCUAGUUUUUCCUUCAUCCAUAUAGAAACCCUAGUUUUCCUUCAUCCAUAUAGAAACCCUAAUUUUUCCUUCAUCUAUAGUGAAACCCAAAUUAAAUCCCAAAACUAUAGCCUCUAUCUGAACCCUUCCCCAAAUCAUAUACCCUAUUGUAACGAUCUUCGUCAUAACCGUUCUCAACUCUACAUCACAGAUCGUUACAAUCCAUAAUUGGAAUGUAUUGAAUGAGACCGAUUAUACUCUUUGGUCUCCAGUCAUGGAGACACAAAUUUCCAGGAGAAAGAAAGUAGAAAGAUAUGGAUACUUGACCAUUGAUUCACCUCAACCAGCCUCUAUAGAUCUCGCUUACAACAAAUGGCGUCCUAAGAAUUUUAAGGUCAAAUGUAAGUUUCGGCUGCCGUUAAAAAAACCUUACAUGAUGGAUCUAAUGAAUCUCAAAUUUAUGAAUUGAGCAAUAAGGUUUCACCAUGAAGCAUAAUGGAAAGUAUGUCUCUGCUUACUUCAUAUUUUUCUUGCAGGUCAGUGAAUGGUGUAACCCCUGUGGUCGCACAAAACAUAGUCGUGAAUGGUGUUAGGAAUUGGUUGGAUAUCCAGAAUUGUUGAAUCUGUCCAAAGCAUCAAAAAAGAAAUUGAGGUAAAAUUGUACAUGUCUCAUUGACCACAGGCUAUGCCUUGAAUAUUAUGCACCUACUCGCAAUAGUAUGUGGAUAAAUGAUUCAUGUGCAACAUGUUAUAUGACGUUUGAUGUGAAGAAUCGACAAAUUUAGGGUUGAUGUGAAGAAUUGACAAAUUUAGGGUUGAUGUGAAGACUCGACAAAUCCUUAAUGUAGAGAACAUGCAUGCAGUGAUGGAGCCACGUAGGGACGAGAGGGGUUCCAAGCCCCUUCUCAACUCUUUAUUCUCUUCAUUUUCUCUUUUUUCUUCUUUUUUUUCUUCUUCCCAGUUUCACUCUCUUUUUCUUUCUCUCUCUCUCUCUCUGUAAAUAAUUUAAUGUUGUGUGUAUGAAUUGAAUUGAAUAUUGAAAGAGUAUACAAGGAUUUC
This 1414-nucleotide long non-coding RNA is filed under the name Prunus dulcis (almond). RNAcentral's name for it is "sRNA ncRNA". The record is from RNAcentral. Lineage: Eukaryota; Viridiplantae; Streptophyta; Magnoliopsida; Rosales; Rosaceae.